CUGGGACAGUGAUUCGAACAAGUCUGGUGAAGGUUCUGGAGUUUGAGCGGGAUUACAUGUGUAACAAAUGCAAGCAUGUGUUUGUGAUCAAGGCUGACUUUGAGCAGUAUUACACCUUUUGCCGGCCAUCCUCGUGUCCCAGCUUGGAGAGCUGUGAUUCCUCUAAAUUCACUUGCCUCUCAGGCUUGUCUUCGUCUCCAACCAGGUGUAGAGAUUACCAGGAAAUCAAAAUUCAGGAACAGGUUCAAAGGCUAUCUGUUGGAAGUAUUCCACGAUCUAUGAAGGUUAUUCUGGAAGAUGACUUAGUGGAUAGUUGCAAAUCUGGUAAGAAGAGGGGAAUUUUUUUUUAGCUUGUGUAGGUAGUCCUAAAGUAUUGAUUAGGAAAAGCCACUUUUUAUUUUCCCAAGAUCACUGGCAAGGGAAAUGUAGAGCUGUAAUUGCUCACCUUGAGAUUAGAAACUGGCAGGUGGGAAGUGAUAGCAGGAAGAGAGCUGGGCUAGAUCUAUACAACAGCAGCUAGUCCAGGUGCUUGUUUUAUGAAUGAAGAACCUGACUUGUCUAAGGUCACUUAGAGAGUUAAGUGGCAUAACUGGAACAUGAAUCCAGAACCACUGAUGUCUAAUUUAAGGCUCUUUUCAGUGCACUAUAGCUUAACAGCAGGAACUUUAAAAAAUGUAGUGAAUUUAAUGGGUAUUUUUAUAAAAUGAAUUAGAGAAUGUGACUCUGUUAAAUGCUGCUGCGUGUCUUAUUGGUGCCUAGAAGAAAGGACAUCAUUCCUCUCUGCUCUGUGCUGGUGACACCGUGAUUGGAGUCACUGAUUGUAGUCUGCUGUCUUCUGAGGGUCCUCAAUGUUUUCAUUGGCCGAUACCUGAAUUGGGAGGGUACUUGAAACCCAUACUCAAUGAAGAACUAUACAUGGUUAGCAUGGAGAACCCUGAGGAAGGACAUGACAGCCAACUUUCAAUAGUUAGAAGACUGUCACAUAGAAAUAGAAUUGUAAUUACAGAAGUUGCUGUUGGGUUUCAGUGGGGUAAGCCACAAGGAGGUAGAUUUUGACUCAAUACCUAAUAAUUAGAGGUGUCUAACAUGGGCCUUAGAUGGUGAUGAGUUCUUUUUCUCAUAGACAGUCAAACACAGCAUAUACAGUACAUUGUUAGGGAUUUAGGCCCUACAGUGGCAGUUGAUCUGGAUAAUAAUCUGCAAUGUUCCAGGCAAUUUAAAGACUUUCUGAGCCUCAGAACUGUUCUGGAAAUCUGAGAGUUCCGAAAGCCUGAUUGUUCCAGUGUCAUUCUGAGCUUAUGCUUUACUCUUUAGGCUAACCAGACUGGUCCUGAGUUCUCCUUUGUCCCUGUCAACUCAUCAUGUUCCCUCUCCUCACUGGGGAGACUAAGAAGAAAUCAAACUUAAAAGUAUUUGUGGAAGGGUGAUGUUUUAGUCAUUUUGGGCUGUUAGUCCAUUCUUGCGUUGCUAUAAAGAAAUACCUGGGACGGGGCAAUUUAUAAAGAAAAGAGGUUUAAUUGGCUCACAGUUCCACAGGCUGUACAGGAAGCAUGGUGCAGACAUAGGCUCAGCUUCUUCUGAGGCAUCAGGAAGUUUACAAUCAUGGCAGAAGGGAGAGGGGGAGCUGGCACAUCACAUGGUGAAAGCAGGAGCAAGAGUGGGGAGGGAGGAGGUGCCACAUACAUUUAAAUGAACAGAGCUCAUUCGAACUCAGAGUGAGAGCUCCUUUAUCACCAAAAGGAUGGCCCAAGCCAUUCAUGAGGGAUCCACCUGCAUGAUCCAGACACCUCCUGCCAGGCAUCUCCUCCAAUACUAGGGAUUAUAUCUCAACAUGAGAUUUGAAUGGGGACAAUUAUCCAAACUAUAUCAGGCUGCUCUAACAAAUCACCAUAGACUAGGUGGCUUCAACAACAAAUAUUUAUUUCUCACAGUUUUGGAGGCUGGAGGUUGGAGAUCAGGAUGCCAGUGUCUUCGGAUUCUGGUGAGGGACCUCUUCUAGGUUUCAGAUAGCCAACGUAUAUUAACAUACAGUUGUGUAAAUAGUAUACUAAUGAGAUAACAGCUUUGAUUAUGGAUUGCCUGCUAAGCAACCCCAGAAUAUGUCAAAAUACCUUGCUCAUAUAGGACUAGAUUUUAACCUAAAUCUGUAAUAUCUGUCUCAGCAAUGCAGUUCUUAUAUAAGCUCAGCCUGAACAUGAAAAUAUCCGUCAAUUGAGAAUAAGAUCUUUUCAUGCAGUUCAUCUAAACUGAAUUUCUUUCUGUACUGGAAAUAAGUCUUAAGUUGUUUUUCUUUCAAAUGUCAUUAAUAAUGAAGGAUGGAUAGAAGCAAUCUAUCAACAGCUAUUUUUUCAUGUAUCAUUAGCUAUAAACCUCUGUGGGAAUCAAAAGACAAAUAGUAUAUAAUCCUUGCCCUUCAGGAAUUUACGAUCUAGUUAGGAACCCCACUUUGGCACUUGCAGAGUAAUGAAGUUGGAGGGUGUGUGCUGGUAAAUGUCAGUGCCACAGGAGAUCCGAGAGAUGGGUCUGACUGGCAAUGGCUACAGUAGUAAAGAUGCUGCAGAUGAUAUAGGGGCACAGAGAGACUGGAUUGUAGAAAAGUAAGAAUUUUAGCUUCCUGAAAAUAACAUUGCUUAUAACAUUACUUUUGAAAAAUACAGAAGUUUAAGGUGAAUAUCUAUUGUCUUGGACUAUCAUGUAUACCUCACAAUUGUUCUGGUGAUUAUAUGAAUCUGCCAUUCAGUAAUUAUUUGAGUAAAGAAAACACGUAUAUAUUGAAGGGCUUUUAAAGGUAUUAAUUACUUUACAAAUGUAAGGUAGGUUUAGUAUAAGAAGAGCUAAUAUUUACUGAGCACUUGCCAUCUUCUAGAUACUGCAUUAAGUAAUUUACGUACAUUAUCCGAUCUAAUUCUCAUUAUAGUACUGUGAUGUAAAUAUAAUCAUUCACAUUUUGUAGUUCAAGAAACAGGCUUAGGAAAGGUAGGUAAUUUGCCCAAGGUCACGUAGCCUAUGGGCAGUGGAGCUGGGAUUUAAAUCCAAAUCUGAUGAGGUCAGUACUCUUGGCCAUGCUUCAGUGCUCUGUAUUUUCCACAUAAUCACUGCUUAUUGACAUUAGAUUAUUACUUACGGGUCAUAUAUCUAAACAUUAAGUUCCUCAUUUAACUAGUUUAGAAACAACCUAAACAUAAUCCAUUAAAAUGACCAUAAUAGAGAAUUGUUCCAUGUCCUUAUGUAAAAUUGCCCCCAAUCAUUUUUACCUAGAAAUUUGGGGUCAGACAAUAUAGUAAAUGAUCAUCAUUCCUGAUUGGGUUUGAAAAUCAUUAAGUAGUGGCUUAGGAAAGAUCUUGGAAACUUGUAAAGCACUUACUUAAUGUGUUUGUAACUAUGUAGUAUGAAGUUGCCUUAAACUAGAAAUGUGCCUUCUAUUCUGUGGAUUGGCACCACCAGUUCCAUGAAUUUAGCAUUUUCCUUUAGGAAAUCAAAAGCUAUGCAGAUUACUCAUUGAAAUUUAGAGAGUGAAAGGCAUUUUUCAUCAGCACAUAUCACAUAAUUGGCACAAAGGCUUGGAAAUGAAGAAUUGCCUGUUAGUUCUGAGACAGUGUUUAUUAUGCAAAAUAUAAAUACCAGAAUUGGGGUUGGGGCACAUCCAACACCCUGUGUUCAACAAGAUUAAAAUUUGGGGGGACCAGGAUUAUGAUUUUUUUCAUGUUUGUUUUUGGCCCACUUUCUCCAGUACCAAAAUAUGGAAGGCCAAACAUUUGUAUAUACUUGUUAACUGAUGCAUUGCAUUGUAUGUCGUAACAAGUACAGAUGGCAGUGUUUGGUGAGUGUGCCUAUAAACUACCCAGGGCCUCUUAGGAAAAUCUAUAAAAGUUGCUUCUGCCUACCAGGAAUGGUGGGAGGGUUUCCUCAGGUAGGAGAGAACCAUCAGCAAGGAACAAGCAGGAUUGUAUCUUGUGCUUUUAUAUUUUGUGGGAAGGAACUUUGAAGUAUAACAGGCAUUUAUUCAUUUCUUAGUUCAUUGUUUCUUUGGUUCACUAAAAAAGAUGUGGGGGGGGCAGUGAGUAAAAUAUUAGCAAAUGAGUUAAGUAAAAAUGAACAUGUAAGAAACCCAAACUACCUGCCAGUCAUCACAAGGUUAUCUCUUUUCCUGACUCCAAAUUAUAGUUUAACCUUCUGGCUGCAGUUCCCACAUCUCUUCUCUAAAUGAGAGCUAAAUGGUUAGAGACUCAGAGGAUGAACAUUUCAUCCAAUGUAACUGUGAUGAAUGAAUCAUCCAGUAAACUAUUUUCCCAGUGAAAAGUAAUAAUUUUGUAUGAUUAUCAUGUAGCAGGUUAUGAAAAAUAGGAAAUACUGACUUCAGCUUUUCACUUUACAGAUACAUGACUGUGGGGGGCAACAGUCAAGAAUCUGGGGUGCUAUUCUGCCCCUAAAUUGUUUUCUGGAUGAGUGUACACAUUGUAAACUCUAGUGAGGGAGUGGUUUAUUUCUAAUUUCUGGUCCUUUGUCAUUUUGAGUCUGUGCUUAGCAUGCAGGAUGCUACUGCUGGACUCACUUGAUGCUUUUUCCUAGGUGAUGACCUCACUAUUUACGGGAUUGUAAUGCAACGGUGGAAGCCCUUUCAGCAAGGUGUGCGCUGUGAAGUGGAGAUAGUCCUGAAAGCAAAUUACAUCCAAGUAAAUAAUGAGCAGUCCUCAGGGAUCAUCAUGGAUGAGGAGGUCCAAAAGGAAUUCGAAGAUUUUUGGGAAUACUAUAAGAGCGAUCCCUUUGCAGGAAGGAAUGUAAUAUUGGCUAGCUUGUGCCCUCAAGUGUUUGGAAUGUAUCUAGUAAAGCUUGCUGUGGCCAUGGUGCUGGCUGGUGGGAUUCAAAGGACUGAUGCUACAGGAACACGGGUCAGAGGUUAGUACCUAUUUAGAAAUUUUGAGUAAUAUUGACACAUGGAGGGAAGCUAGAACUUUUUCUUUCCCAAAUAAAAACUGCUCGUUGGGUUUUAUUUUCCAAUUGUAAUCUUAUAAAACUGACAGUUGUCUGAAUAUCUCAUACUUAGUCUAGCAUCUGUAUAUCAGAAGCUACUUUCUAGAGUUCCAGAAAGACUGAAAGAAGUUACAUUUUUCUAUGGCAUAUACUUUUGCUAUAGCCUAUAAGGAUGCCACAGAAUAAAAUCUUUGUUUCUAUUACUGUGUUUUUUGUUGGAUCCCUGGUCUGUUUUCAAAAGGAAAAAGAUUAGAAAUAGUGUAUUUUAAUGUCUCCAGUCAGUGUCUCUCCAUCUGUGGCUGUCACUGUGUUUCUCUUAGACUGCUGCUUUCAGUCAUCUGCCGGCUGAUUCUCCUUCUGCUGGUAGAUAGCAAAUGUGCCAUCUGCCGUGGGGUGCUGCUGCAGGUCACACCUUCAAGAAAAGAUUACUCUUAAGUGUAUAAUUAUGUCCAGAUGGCAGAAAGCUCUUUUGCAGCUAACACACUUAACCAGAGUCUGGCAUACAGGUUAUUACGGCCCCGUACGUGGGCCAUAAUAACCAAAAAUUAAACCAAAAGACUAAAAGGGCAUUGUUAUAAAUCAGGCUGUUAGUAGGGACUCGAAAACCAUAUAGUACAGUAUAGAAUAGUAAGUAUAAGGUGUCCUUAUAUGUUUUGAUCACCUACUGUUUUGCAAGGCACUCUGCCAAAUGUUGAGCUUAAAUAGGGGUUUCCUAUUAAUGUAUUUAGGAAACACUUGAGAAUUGCUGAAGAAACUUGAUCAGUGAAAUCAUAUGUACCAUAGGAUAUGCACGUUAUUUAUGUUACAUUUGCAAAAUGAGUACUUAUUUUAAGAUACAUAUUUCACUAAGUUACUAAAAUUUUCAUAAAUGAAAAGGUCUUCACUUAACUGUUAGAAUCAUAAGUAAUUUGAUAUUUAUAAAGUACUUGUAAAAUCCCUAAUACUUCUAAGUGCUUAAAUAAAAAUAGAAUAAAAUACUUAUAUGACUUGUAUGCAAGGAUUUAAUCAUAGUAGUUUGAUAUUUAAAAAUAGAGUAAAUCAGAAACUUUAUAAGCCAAAAAUUUUUUGUUUGUUUUUGUAGAGAUGGAGUCUUGCCCAGGCUGGUCUCACAUUUCCGGGCUCAAGUGACCCUCCUGCCUUGGCCUCCCAAAUGCUGGGAUUACAAGUGUGAGCCACCGCACCUGGCCCCAGAUAUUUUUUAAAAUGUUAAACAUAGGCCUGAACAUCUGGAAAUAGCACAUCAUUUAUUAAUAGAAUUUAGAUUCUAUGUCACAUUGAGUAAUCAAUUAAGGACUGUUUAUGACAGUUAACUUUCUAAAGAUUUUCUAGUUAAAUCCUUUCUCAAACGACCCUAUGUAAAAGUACACAGUAAAAACACUAUGUAAUAUUUUGUUGGCAUUCCAAAUGGACCCUUUUAUAGAAAUUUAAAACUUCAUGUAUUUGCUUUUUCCUAGGAGAAUCUCAUCUUUUAUUGGUUGGGGAUCCUGGCACAGGGAAAUCUCAGUUCCUCAAAUAUGCAGCAAAGAUUACACCAAGAUCUGUGCUGACCACAGGAAUUGGAUCUACUAGUGCAGGUAUUAUAUGUGACAAUUUCAAGUAAUUUAACAUUACUUCAGAAGUUAACACAAUGGUUUUUUCUAAUGAAAAACUACCUAUAAUAGGAUAAAUUUCAAGCUAAUUUUUGAGUUACCACUAAAAAUGGAAGGAAAUAUGCAAUGUUAUUUUGGUAGCUCUAAGAAAAUAUCUUGCAAGCUCCACCUUCACUUUGCAUCUUAGUUUUGAACAAUCCUAUUCAAUUUUCUUAUUCUCUAGUGAUUACCUUCAUACUUUUAUGCAGGAAAAAGUCCGUAUCAUCUGGCAUUUUAUCAAGACUCAGCAACUGGAAUGUUAAACUAAAGAGGGGGAUAUUUCACUUUACCAAGUAGAUAGAUGGCAUAGAGCUUAAGGCAUUUUCAUGCUCAUAAAUCUGAUAGGCAACAGUAGCUCCUACUGAAAUUUCUUAGGUAGGGAAUGUUUAUUAAUAUUUGGAAAAUAUACUUCCAUCACUGCAAUGUGGAGCUUCAUUCAUAAGUUGUAAUGAUUCUUUAGCAAGUACACUUAAAAGCCUUUGCAGGUAGAAUGUCAAGAUUUGAUUAAAGUGACCCAGGGAAUUUAGAAAAAAAUUAUUUUAAAAAAUAUGUUUGAUGCUAUUUUGUAUUUUUACAGUUUUGAUUGGGUAAUGUUUCUGUUCUUCUGAAAACAGACCCUUGGCUUCACACAUUUUAAAAAUGUUUGCUACUUGUUAAGGGAGUCAGAUUAACUUCCAUUGGGCUAAUGAAUGCUCAAAUUUCUAAUGAGAAACUUACACUUUAAAAUUUAUCAUACAACAGAAAAUGGCCAAUUAAUGGUCCUGUAUAAGUGGAAAACUGUUAAGGGGGUCUCAGGUUUUGAAAUAUAACUAAACAAUAUAUUAACCAUUGACAAGAAUGGAUUUUUGGAAUUGAGAAGGGUAGACAAACUUCAGGAUACUAGGCAAGAAUAUAUAAAGAAUAUUUCCCAUGCGUUUUAAAUCCGUAUGACCCAGUGUUCUAGAGUUCUGUAUAAAAUGACACCAACAACAAAUAAAGAUGCUUCCCAAGUAA
This 7592-nucleotide small RNA is filed under the name Pan troglodytes (chimpanzee). RNAcentral's name for it is "retained intron". Lineage: Eukaryota; Metazoa; Chordata; Mammalia; Primates; Hominidae. The record is from RNAcentral.